This 484-nucleotide ribosomal RNA is filed under the name uncultured bacterium. RNAcentral describes it as "partial 16S ribosomal RNA". It matches the Rfam family "Bacterial small subunit ribosomal RNA", at positions 30 to 507 of the family's 1533-position model. The record is from RNAcentral.
AUUGAACGCUGGCGGCAGGCCUAACACAUGCAAGUCGAGCGGAUGAAGGGUGCUUGCUCCUGGAUUCAGCGGCGGACGGGGGAGUAAUGCCUAGGAAUCUGCCUGGUAGUGGGGGAUAACGUCCGGAAACGGGCGCUAAUACAGCAUACGUACUGAGGGAGAAAGUGGGGGAUCUUCGGACCUCACGCUAUCAGAUGAGCCUAGGUCGGAUUAGCUAGUUGGUGGGGUAAAGGCCUACCGAGGCGACGAUCCGUAACUGAUCUGAGAGGAUGAUCAGUCACACUGGAACUGAGACACGGUCCAGACUCCUACGGGAGGCAGCAGUGGGGAAUAUUAGACAAUGGGCGAAAGCCUGAUCCAGCCAUGCCGCGUGUGUGAAGAAGGUCUUCGGAUUGUAAAGCACUUUAAGUUGGGAGGAAGGGCAGUAAGUUAAUACCUUGCUGUUUUGACGUUACCAACAGAAUAAGCACCGGCUAACUUCGUG